This 791-nucleotide ribosomal RNA is filed under the name uncultured bacterium. RNAcentral describes it as "bacterial SSU rRNA". It matches the Rfam family "Bacterial small subunit ribosomal RNA", at positions 60 to 843 of the family's 1533-position model. The record is from RNAcentral.
AGUCGAGCGGUAACAGAGAUAGCUUGCUAUCUGCUGACGAGCGGCGGACGGGUGCGUAACACGUAGGAAUCUACCCAGUAGCGGGGGGUAGCCCGGAGAAAUCCGGAUUAAUACCGCAUACGCCCUACGGGGGAAAGCAGGGGAUCUUCGGACCUUGCACUAUUGGGUGAGCCUGCGUCGGAUUAGCUUGUUGGUGGGGUAAAGGCCUACCAAGGCGACGAUCCGUAGCUGAUCUGAGAGGAUGAUCAGCCACACUGGGACUGAGACACGGCCCAGACUCCUACGGGAGGCAGCAGUGGGGAAUAUUGCACAAUGGGCGAAAGCCUGAUGCAGCCAUGCCGCGUGUGUGAAGAAGGCUCUAGGGUUGUAAAGCACUUUCAGCGAGGAGGAAAGGUUGCAGAUUAAUACUCUGUAGCUGUGACGUUACUCGCAGAAGAAGCACCGGCUAACUCCGUGCCAGCAGCCGCGGUAAUACGGAGGGUGCGAGCGUUAAUCGGAAUUACUGGGCGUAAAGCGUGCGUAGGCGGCUGUCUAAGUUGGGUGUGAAAGCCCCGGGCUCAACCUGGGAACUGCAUCCAAAACUGGACAGCUAGAGUGCGGAAGAGGAGUGUGGAAUUUCCUGUGUAGCGGUGAAAUGCGUAGAUAUAGGAAGGAACACCAGUGGCGANNNCGACACUCUGGUCUGACACUGACGCUGAGUACGAAAGCGUGGGGAGCAAACANGAUUAGAUACCCUGGUAGUCCACGCCGUAAACNAUGUCUACUANUCGUCGGGNNUCCUGUACUCUUGG